UUAGAGUUUGAUCAUGGCUCAGGAUAAACGCUGGCGGCGCACAUAAGACAUGCAAGUCGAACGGACUUAACCUUAUCUUUUAGAUUUGGAGCGGUUAGUGGCGGACUGGUGAGUAACACGUAAGCAACCUGCCUAUCAGAGGGGAAUAACAGUGAGAAAUCAUUGCUAAUACCGCAUAUGCUAACAGUAUCGCGUGAUACAGUUAGGAAAGGAGCAAUCCGCUGAUAGAUGGGCUUGCGUCUGAUUAGUUAGUUGGUGGGGUAACGGCCUACCAAGACCACGAUCAGUAGCCGAACUGAGAGGUUGAACGGCCACAUUGGGACUGAGAUACGGCCCAGACUCCUACGGGAGGCAGCAGUCGGGAAUAUUGCGCAAUGGAGGAAACUCUGACGCAGUGACGCCGCGUAUAGGAAGAAGGUUUUCGGAUUGUAAACUAUUGUCAUUAGGGAAGAUACAAGACAGUACCUAAGGAGGAAGCCCCGGCUAACUAUGUGCCAGCAGCCGCGGUAAUACAUAGGGGGCGAGCGUUAUCCGGAUUUAUUGGAUGUAAAGGGUGCGUAGACGGAGAGACAAGUUGGUUGUGAAAUCCCUCGGCUUAACUGAGGAACUGCAACCAAAACUAUUUCCCUUGAGUGUCGGAGGGGAAAGUGGAAUUCCUAGUGUAGCGGUGAAAUGCGUAGAUAUUAGGAGGAACGCCGGUGGCGAAGGCGACUUUCUGGACGAUAACUGACGUUGAGGCACGAAAGUGUGGGGAGCAAACAGGGAUUAGAUACCCUGGUAGUCCACACUGUAAACGAUGGAUACUAGGUGUAGGGUGUAUUAAGCACUCUGUGCCGCCGCUAACGCAUUAAGUAUCCCACCUGGGGAGUACGACCGCAAGGUUGAAACUCAAAGAAAUUGACGGGGGCCCGCACAAGCAGUGGAGUAUGUGGUUUAAUUCGAAGCAACGCGAAGAACCUUACCAGGGCUUGACAUAUACAGGAAAGAUCUAGAGAUAGAUCCCUUCUUCGGAACUUGUAUACAGGUGGUGCAUGGUUGUCGUCAGCUCGUGUCGUGAGAUGUUGGGUUAAGUCCCGCAACGAGCGCAACCCCUAUUGCUAGUUACUAACAGGUUAAGCUGAGGACUCUAGCGAGACUGCCGGUGAUAAAUCGGAGGAAGGUGGGGAUGACGUCAAAUCAUCAUGCCCUUUAUGUCCUGGUCUACACACGUACUACAAUGGCUGUUACAGAGGGAAGCAAUAUAGUGAUAUGGAGCAAAACCCUAAAAGCAGUCUCAGUUCGGAUUGAAGGCUGAAAUUCGCCUUCAUGAAGCCGGAAUUGCUAGUAAUGGCAGGUCAGCAUACUGCCGUGAAUACGUUCCCGGGCCUUGUACACACCGCCCGUCACACCAUGAGAGUUGGAAAUACCCGAAGCCUGUGAGCUAACAAUCGAGGCAGCAGUCGAAGGUAGAGCCAAUGAUUGGGGUGAAGUCGUAACAAGGUAGCCGUAUCGGAAGGUGCGGCUGGAUCACCUCCUU
RNAcentral lists this ribosomal RNA (1516 nucleotides) under uncultured rumen bacterium. Its description in RNAcentral is "16S ribosomal RNA". It matches the Rfam family "Bacterial small subunit ribosomal RNA". The record is from RNAcentral.